Molecule: long non-coding RNA, 999 nt
Organism: Meriones unguiculatus (Mongolian gerbil)
Lineage: Eukaryota; Metazoa; Chordata; Mammalia; Rodentia; Muridae
Exons: 3
Source: RefSeq, a predicted model, not a curated record
UAAAGAGAGAAGCCUUCGUUGCAGCCCAUGAACAAUCUGAGAGGUUUAAUGGACGGAAUGAGGCAAUGGUGUUCUGUGUCUGCCAACUGGCGAAUGUGGUCCCCAGCUAGCUUAUUAGGAGCACAGUGGCCUGAUGGGGCACUGGCCGGUCCUGCUCUCGCUGAUGCACACAUGUGUCUGAAUCAUCAAGUUCAUUUCCCGGAACUCCACUUGAUGCAUUGUUUAAACAAGGAUCCGGGCAGUAGAUUCGUGAGAUGCCUCGGAAUAGCUUCGCACGAAUGAGAUUUCAAAUCUGGAGCCACUGAUUCUGGAGGACAGAUGACUGGGGAGGCAAGAGGGGUUUUCCCCCAAAUAUUGGCACCACUGUCUUGAGGGAGAACAGCUUGUCCCUGAGUUCCCAGUCCUUGAUCUUGGGCUAAAAGUGGCUUUCUGAGUCCUGAAGCCUGGAGUCUUGGCCUUAGUCACUCUGCCUGCUUCUACCUCUCACGUGGUCCCUCCUUCCACUGUGGAACUUUUCAGAAGCCAUAAUCAACUGAAGAUGUUCCUGUCACUGGUCCUCAAGCGUGUGGGGACUUCCUUAAGCCAUCAUGUGGAGAGGCCACCCAGUGCAGCAGAAGGAGGCACACAGAAAACAUGCCCUCGGUCGUGUGAAUUCGGUUCUUCAUCCUGCCACAAAAUGGCUGUGUGUGCCGGCAAGUCUGAUGUCAACUUGACACAAGCUAUACUCACAGGAAAGGAGGCUCUAAAGCAGACACGCCUGUGAGGCAUUUUCUUCAUUAGUGAUUGAUGGAGGAGGGCCUAGCCUGUUGUGAGUGGUGCCAUCCCUGGGCUGCUUCCCCGGGCUGCUAUAACACAGCAAGCUAGGAAGAGCAAGCCAGUAAGCAGCACCUCUCCAUGGCCUCUGUAUCAGCCCCUGUCUCCAGAUUCCUGCCUUGCCUGUGUUUAUUUCUUAGCUUUCUUUGAUGAACAGUGAUGUUGAAGCAUAAGUCAAAUAAAUCU